RNAcentral lists this transfer RNA (69 nucleotides) under Mus spretus (western wild mouse). RNAcentral's name for it is "tRNA-Glu". RNAcentral also lists the same sequence under 1 other name. The record is from RNAcentral. Lineage: Eukaryota; Metazoa; Chordata; Mammalia; Rodentia; Muridae.
GUUUCUGUAGUUGAAUUACAACGAUGAUUUUUCAUGUCAUUGGUCGCAGUUAAAUGCUGUGUGGAAAUA